GUGGGAGCGCACAGUGUCAGGAAUACAAUAGUGCUCCGCGCCGCCUCGGCUGCCGCCGCCGCCCAGCAGCCUGUCCAGGGCUGAGGCCUGAAGGGCCAGGCGGCCGGGCCGAGGGCGGGAGCAGAGCGCUAGGGGGCGGCCCCCUUGGCUCCUCGGAAGGCCGGGGCAGGAGGGCGGGGUGAGAUUAGGGGGCAGGUGCGAGGGAGGGAAGAGAAGAAAGCGGGCGGCUAGGGGGCGGUUACCACCCUAGCCAGACUCGCCCGGCACGUUGAGGGGGCCCUCAGUGUGCGGCGAGGACCGAGAGGAGCGAGAAGCUGCGCCGGAGGUCUUCCCAUAGACAACAAAAGCAAGGCUCCUAUAAUCAAAAGUGCCUCUGUGCUGAGUCAUUGGGAAAAACUUGCCUGAUCCAAUCUGCCAGACUUGGGAAGGGAAGUGACGAAUCCAGCAUCAUACUGUGGAGUGAGUAGCCAAGAUCCGCCAGUUUGGGGCAUCAGGCUUUGACCUUAGUUUGGAAGAUCUCAAAGGUAACAUUCUUCAUAUAACAGAAUUUUUUCAACAUCUUGAGAACUGAAAUUUAUUAUAUAAAAUAUAAUGGUCCUUGGAAAUGUGGGAAACUGAGUAAAAUAGGGGUGUGUAUUCCUUCUGAAAAUUGUGUGAUAGCAGAAUCUCAGGUUUCAUUGUUUUCUCCUAGGAUAAAAAUUUAGAAUUCCUGUAUUUAAGUCAGGAGCUUGAAAGGAGCUGUCCAUAUUUAUGAAUGUAGUAUUUGACUUUGCCCUUUAUCCAACAAAUACUUAUAUGUUAAUUGGAAUAUUGCUUAUAGUAACACGAGAUUAGUGAUAUAUUGAGUAUCAGUCAGGACUUAGUUAUACAGAAGAGUAUUAUUACACUGUAUAUUAGAAGCAGAGUAGAGCAUGUGUUACCAUUUAUGUAAAACAGUGAUGACAAGAAAAUAUAUAUUUUUGAUUACAUAGAUGGGCUGUUUAAGCUCUGACAGUUUUGGGGCAUGAAUGACCUGGACUAGAAAUUGAG
This is a long non-coding RNA of Rattus rattus (black rat), 1029 nucleotides long. RefSeq lists it as uncharacterized. NCBI's taxonomy places the organism in Eukaryota, Metazoa, Chordata, Mammalia, Rodentia, Muridae. The record is from RefSeq and is a predicted model, not a curated record. The transcript has 3 exons.